This is a small nuclear RNA of Vulpes vulpes (red fox), 107 nucleotides long. The record is from Ensembl. NCBI's taxonomy places the organism in Eukaryota, Metazoa, Chordata, Mammalia, Carnivora, Canidae.
GUGCUCGCUUCAGCAGCACAUAUACAAAAUUGGUAUGAUACAGAGAAGAUUAGCAUGGUCCCUGUGCAAGGAUGACACGCAAAUUCCUUGAUCUUUGAUCAUAUCCA